CCCUUAGAUGUUCUGGGCCGCACGCGCGCUACACUGACGAAUGCAACGAGCUUAUAACCUUGGCCGAAAGGUCUGGGUAAUCUCCAAAUUUCGUCGUGAUGGGGAUAGAUUAUUGCAAUUAUUAAUCUUCAACGAGGAAUGCCUAGUAAGCGCAAGUCAUCAGCUUGCGUUGAUUACGUCCCUGCCCUUUAUACACACCGCCCGUCGCUCCUACCGAUUGAAUGGUCCGGUGAAGCGCUCGGACCGCGGCCUCUUGACGGUUUUCCGUCGAUUGGCUGUGGGAAGUUCGUUAAACCUUAUCAUUUAGAGGAAGGAGAAGUCGUAACA
Molecule: ribosomal RNA, 327 nt
Filed under: uncultured eukaryote
Lineage: Eukaryota
Description: partial 18S ribosomal RNA
Rfam family: Eukaryotic small subunit ribosomal RNA
Source: RNAcentral